CAACUUCUUGGUAGCAGCAGAGGAUGAGCAAAUACAUUGUCUGCAAAGGCUGAGUCAAUUAGCAGUGGCUGUCAUGUGUAUUGAACUGCAGUUGUUUAAAGUGAGAAUAUUCUAAAUGCAGAGAGCUAUUACAGUUGGGAAGAAUUUCUGAGCAGUGUUUCAGCUUUUUCUAGUUCUGACUUCAAGCAUGGACCUUGACAAAGCAGCAGAAUGACAACUUGGUAGGAAUUCUGUGCCUUAUUUCUUAAUCCUGAUGAGCCAAACCUACGGUGAACUCCCAUUCCUCAGAGAGAGCCAGAGCCACGGGGUCACAUCAAGCCACUCUGUACAGAUCAGUUCUACAGAGUUUUCUGAAAGCAUAACCUUAAAUCCUACGAAAACCAGUUGUCCAUGCUUCAGUCUCCUGAGAAGGCAGCUCCUGCUGCCUCCUGCAGCCCCACUCGUGCUGAAGCAAGGCCAUUUACACCGUGCUUCAGAACCAGGUGUGCUAUGGGCAGAGUGGCAGCAAUUGCCAGCGGUGACUAAGUGAGAAGUGACACUCUCUGUCUCUCUGAGGGUUUCUUCAAGUCCAGUUUGGAGCCUUUCAUUACAUUGCAAGAAUCCAUUAAGACAGAAACAAGGUUAUUCCAUGAAAUGUUUUUGUGACUAAAGAGGACAUCCAGCUCUUUAAUCAGUGACAGAACAUCUACUCUGACAAGACUGAGUGAUACAAUGCGCUUGGCUAGCACCUUUGCAACUGAAGGGGAAUAUAACUUACAAGGACAGACAGUAUUCUCAUUAAAUUGCCAUUGGUUGAUUCAUCAAUGCUCCAGUGGAAAUAAUUAUUCUGUAUAUGUUUGAUGUAAAUGUCUAUGUCAAAUGAAACCUCAUUUUGUAUUUUGCGGAUGUCUGAUCCAUGAUAAUUUGGCUAAUGCCUUCAGGUCAUGAGAUAACUGUCUUCUCCCUUCAAUUAUGACAGGGGCUGCAGUGAGAGUCUAAGAGUGUUUUGGAGGAGAUAAAUACACACACAUACACACACAUAUUUAUAUAUAAACAAACAAACAAAUAAAUAAACAAACAAAAUCA
RNAcentral lists this long non-coding RNA (1065 nucleotides) under Cyanistes caeruleus (blue tit). RNAcentral's name for it is "lncRNA (ENSCCEG00000018623.1)". The record is from RNAcentral. Lineage: Eukaryota; Metazoa; Chordata; Aves; Passeriformes; Paridae.